Molecule: RNA transcript, 7272 nt
Organism: Bombus pyrosoma
Lineage: Eukaryota; Metazoa; Arthropoda; Insecta; Hymenoptera; Apidae
Gene name: cadherin-23
Exons: 27
Source: RefSeq, a predicted model, not a curated record
GAAGUCAACAGCGCCUGUAAACAAAGCCGUAAGGGUGAUCGACUGCCGUGUGGGUAAAUGGAGUUUAUUGCCGUAGGCGAACGUUCAGUAUACCGGCGAGAGCUCACCUGGCCAGGCGAACACGCUGUGCCCGUUGCACGGUUUAUCAGUAACACGCUGACAGACGGCGGCGAGUCUGAAACAACGAGGCUGCUUAAGCAAAAUAUCGUUUUACUACGAGUCGACAAAUAGUUCUCGAUAAAACGAAUCAUUGCUUCGAUAGCGGAUAACAACGAUUUUCUGAAUGAUCGCGAAAGUGAAAUAAAUUGUGUGACUCUCGAGUGAAGUGACAUGUUACCAGUGAAAGUUUAGAAAGAACAAUUUAUUGCACAGUGUUUACCGAGACGUGGUUUCGUUUACAAAAGAAUCGGUCGGAACAAGACAUUGAAAAGUGCGAGUAUAAGAAGGGGAAUGGAAAAUUUGAUGCAAUUUGAGAGUAAAUAGGAAGAUAGAUAUCCGAGGAAGAAGGCACAUGACGCAGUAAAACCGAGGGAACGAUAGUUUUAUGAAAAUCAUGAAAGAGUUUGAACGAAGUUUAAGAAAAGAGCAGACGUUCAGUUACAGACGUACAUUAAUUUUUCGAAAAGGUUCCAAUAUCAGCACACACUUCAAACUCACCUCAAAAUCGAGUUAAUUUCCAUUCAUCGGGCGAAAAUAACCAUGUUAAUUAAACGAAGCUUACUAUCAAGAUGACCUCGACGAAACCAAUCAUCGCGUUCUCGUGGUUGUUACGAUCCUACAAGAGACGCAGAUUUAAGUCAGAAUGGCUGGCUUUCGUGUUUGCCUGCCUUUUAGCGACUUGUUCGGCCAGGAACAAUCCACCGCGUUUCCUGAUCGACGGCCAGACGGAAAUUGUCAUUAGGUUAAAGGAAGGUCCCGAUACGCCAGUUGGCAGUUUAAUUUACAGGCUUCGCGGCGUCGAUCCUGACGGUGACAGCCUGACUUUCGGCGUUAGGGAUCAACCUGGCAGUGGUGUGAUUCGGGUCGAGAAUUUUAGUCCAACCGAAGCCAAUAUUUACUUGAACAAAUUACUGGACAGAGAGGUAAGGGACGAGUAUGCGUUAGUGUUGACUCUGACAGACGGAAGACUCGGUGAAGGAAAUUUCAUCACGCAAAGUUUACUGCUUCUGGUGGAAGAUGUUAAUGACAACGUGCCAAUCUUCCGUCCACAUCCCACUUCCUUGACGCUUCGUGAAGACUCGGGGCCAGGUAUUUUAACAACGGUCGAAGCCACCGAUGCGGAUUUAGGAGCACAUGGUCAGGUGGUUUACUACCUCCAAGAACUUGACGGUGAUAAUGACGUGUUCAGCGUUUCCACUGUCAAUGGAAAGGGUGUCAUCCGCCUUGUAGGCCGUCUGGAUUACGAAAAAAAAUAUCUAUACCAGUUGAGAAUUCUGGCAAUCGAUCGAGCAAUAAACGAAAAGGUAAACACGGGAACAACCGCGAUACUCGUCAAGGUUCAGGACGUCGAGGAUCAACCUCCAGAAUUCAUAACCAUAACACCUGUUGCCAGGAUCAGUGAAAAUGCAAGAAUAGGCACAUCCGUUCUUCAAGUUCGCGCAGUGGACGGUGACAAAGGAAUAAAUAAUAAAGUAACAUACAGCAUCACGCAAGGUCCGAGGUAUUUAUUCGACAUAGACACGACUUCCGGUUUGGUGUUCACCAGGGCGCAACUCGAUCGUGAGGCAGAGGAAAAUGCCGAGGGCACUUUUAUCUUGGAAAUUACCGUGAGAGAAGUAUCGAAUAUUGUGCCUGCACCGUCUGUUUCGACCGAAGUCACUAUUAUUCUAACGGACGUGAACGAUGAGACUCCAAAGUUCAGAAGCGCGAGAUAUCGUGCCGAGAUAAACGAAAAUGCACCGCAUAAUACGCCGGUUAAUUUCAUCGGGGAUGCAAUUCCGGAAGUUUACGAUCAUGACUUGGGAACUAAUGGUACGUUUAAAAUGUUUAUUGACGGCGAUGACGGAAUAUUCGACGUGACUCCGUCGAGAGGGAUUAACGAAGCUCCAUUUCUUAUACGCGUCAAAAACUCCAGCAAACUAGAUUUUGAAAGUAGAUCAGAGGUAAAUUUCACGUUAAUCGCAAAGGAAGUGGUAACAGUGGCACCGAAGCAGAGUAAAGUGCCGGUAGUCGUUUUCAUAAAAGACCAGAACGAUAAUUAUCCAGAGUUCACGGAGGACAUGUAUGAGGUAUCGAUUCCGGAAAAUUGCGCCGUCGGCACUACGGUGGCAUGGGUUCAAGCCUUGGACGAAGAUAGCGGGAAUUUUGGAACACGUGGAAUUAGAUACACCAAUUUAGGAGGCAGUAUUGCUCAUGUGUUAUCGAUGGAUCCUCUAACAGGACUAAUCACGGUUAAAGAACCGGGACCAAGCUUCGAUCGAGAACUAGUAUCUCGACAUUAUUUAACCGUUGAGGCGAGAGAUGAUCUUGGCAAAGGUAAUCGCAAUACUGUCCAAUUGGUCGUCAAUGUGAAGGAUGUUAACGACAAUGCUCCUAUAUUUCUACAAAACAAAUACGAAGCAGUGCUUCUGGAGAACGAAGAUCAUUUCCAAUCGCCUUUAAUCGUCGAAGCGUUUGACAUCGAUUUGAAUGGUACGAAGAACAGCGAAGUGACGUAUGCCUUGGUAUCGGGAGAAUUUUCACGGAAUUUUAGUAUCGAUUCAAAGCGCGGCAUAAUUAUCCCCACGAUGCCCUUGGAUUAUGAAGCCUUGCCUAUUAGUCAAGGACACAAGGAAACAUCAGUACGUCCAUUGAGAUUGACGGUACGGGCUAGGGAUAUGGGUACUCCAAGUUUGAGCUCAGAUGCGCCAUUAAUUAUUUAUCUAAAGGACAUCAAUGACAAUCCACCUGCAUUUGAGAGAACGUUGUACAUGAAAAGCAUCCCUGAAGACCUGCCUGGAGGUACCAGUGUAGUACAGGUCAAAGCUUGGGAUAAGGAUUUAUCUUCACCCAACAAUAAAUUAGUUUAUCGAAUUCAAAGCGGCGCAGGUGAUAAAUUUGUGAUUAGUCCAGAAAAAGGUGUAAUUAGAGUUGCACCGGGUUCCAAUUUAGAUCCAGAUUUGACUUCACCGAAGACUACAAGAUACAGCUUGAACGUUAUAGCGAUCGAUAGUGGAACGGAAAUCCAAAGAACGGCCGAAGUUCUGGUCAAUAUCACUAUCGUAGACGUUAACAAUAAACCACCCGUCUUUAUCGAUCCGGGUACGGUGACCAUCCGUGAAAAUACACAAGUUGGAGCGUACGUGCAUCGUGUUGUGGCUAAUGAUCCAGACAUAGCGCCGAUAUUACGUUAUCGUAUCGAUCCAAAUUCUUCGGAGGCAAGAAACGAGGAAGGAACGCUAAUUAAGAUCCAAGAAUAUGAUUAUUUGUCCGCUUUGGAAUUAAAUGCACUCGAUGGAUUGCUUCGCGUGGUUAAAUUGCUAGACAGAGAAAGAGUGGAAACGAUAAGAUUGGGGUUAGUUGUUGAAGAUUUAGCUGCAAUCAGAGGAAUACAGACUGCAUCCGCUACGUUGAACAUAAUAAUCGAAGAUGAAAACGAUAAUAACCCAAGAUUUCGCAGACCAUUUUAUAGACGAUCUGUAACAGAGAACAGUAAAAAUGGCGUAAAUAUUGCGAGCAUUGUUGCUGAUGAUGCAGAUAAGAAUCGUAGUAUUACGUAUUCGUUAGAAAGUCCUAAAGAACUGGCAGAUUUAAUUCAUCUUGAUUCUGAAACAGGUGAAAUGGUCGUGGCGAAUAAAAUCGAUCGAGAACAAUAUUCCUGGCUUAAUCUAACUGUACGUGCCACUGACUCAGGAAUUCCACCUAGAUCGAGUUUAUCUGAGGUAUACGUUCAAGUACUGGACGAAAAUGACAAUAACCCGUACUUUGUAACUGAUAUCAGUAAUUUGACUGUGAUGGAGAAUGCUAAGAUCGGUACAGAAGUUGCUACCAUUCAAGCUAGAGAUCCUGAUAGCGGAGAUUAUGGAAAAAUUACAUAUUUAUUAGAUAGAAUGUCGUCCCAGGGUACAUUUGCCAUUCAUCCUGAGUCUGGCGUCUUAACAGUAGCUGAUUCGAUUGACUGGGAAGAUAAACAAAAUUACGUUCUAGUCAUAGAGGCUUGGGAUAACUAUCAGUUUGGUUAUACAGCUGGGGAAUCCAGAAAUGCGUUUAAGCAGAUUAAGGUCACUGUAACAGAUGUCAACGACAAUCCACCAAAAAUGGACAUACCUCCAACAUGUGUUACCAUAUCAGAAUUCCAUGACGUGAAAGAUUUAGUUUUUACCAUUAAGGUAAAGGAUGCAGAUGAUCCAACAACUCCAAAUGGUCGUAUGAAAAUUAGAAUUCUUUCUGGAAAUGAAUUAGGUUUAUUCAUCCUAGAACAAGCGGAUUAUUGGACGGCGAAUAUAAAAGCGGCACAUUCACUUCGAGGAAAAUUCGGAAAUUAUUCGUUACAUCUGGAAGCCCGAGAUCUUGGUAGUCCUUCCAAUAAAGACAUUUCCGUUUUAAAUAUUUGUGUGACGGAUUACAACGACAAUCCGCCAGUCUUUAUUAGUCCACAGCAUAAUACAACUAUUCGAGUAGCAGAGAAUGUGACAGUGGGGACAUCGAUCAUACAAAUUGAAGCCAAAGAUGCCGAUACUGGUCCAAAUGGCGACGUUCAUUAUCGUUUGAAGCAAGACUUGGCUGGUCAUUGGAGAACAUUUCACAUCGACGAUACCACUGGCAUUAUCUCACUAAAACUCCCGUUAGACAGAGAAACGCAGAAAUUGUACGAGAUCAGAGUAGAAGCAUACGAUCUAGGAACUCCAACUCCUCUCAGCACGGAUCUAGAUCUGAUUAUUUACGUGCGAAACAUCAAUGAUUACGAGCCUCAAUUUUUGGUAGACAUAUUCAAGAUUGACUUCACGGAAGAGCAACCUCCUGGCUCUGAAACUGUACAAUUACCAGAAACUGUUGAUAGGGACGAAGUUGAUGAUCUUGACGAUCCUCCUACUCAAGUGUGUUAUUUUAUAAUCAGCGGCAAUGAUGAUGGACUCUUUAUCCUCGAUAUCUUUAGACACGAAUUGACUACUGCGAAAACGUUGGACAGAGAACAGCAAGAGGAACAUUUGUUAAUUGUGAAAGCGACAGAAGAUUGUAAUACUGUUCCAGCGAACGGAACACUUUCCGACGAAGCAGACGAUACUACAUUGAAAGUUGUUAUAAAUGUAAUGGACAUAAACGAUAAUCCACCCAAGUUUGUUAGUAAGAUAUUCACAGGUGGAGUUACUACAGAAGCUGAUUUUGCCACGCAAUUUAUGCAAGUCAAGGCGAUUGACUUGGAUGCAGGUGAUAAUGCUAUAGUUAAUUAUUACCAAGUUGGUAAAAUUCACAUGACUUUGACAGAAGGUUUGGAUGAUAUUGAGCUGCAACCUUUUCUAGUUAAUAAACUCACCGGGGUAGUGAGUUUAAAUUUCGACCCUCAGAGAGGGAUGAAAGGAUAUUUUGAUUUUAUGGUGUUAGCCAAUGAUACCCAUGGUUUAGAAGAUACUGCAAGAGUAUUUAUUUAUUUACUAAGAGAAGAUCAGAGAGUCCGUUUCGUGUUGCGGCAACAUCCACCGGAAGUCCGGAACAGAAUAGAGACGUUUAGAGAGACACUGGGAAACGUGACUGGAGCGAUAGUUAACAUUGAUGAGUACAAAAUCCACGAGAAUCACGACGGUUCUGUCGAUCGAACGAAGACCGAUUUGUACAUGCAUCUUGUAAAUCGUCGAGACAAUUCCAUUCUUGAAGUGUCGGAAGUCCUGGAAUUAGUCGACAGAAAUAUAGAGAAACUCGAUGGUCUGUUUAAGGAAUUCAAUGUUCUCGACACGCAACCGGCUCAAUAUCAACCGAUUGUUCAGUACGAGCAAGCAGGAACCACGUUUUGGCUUUUGACUUUGACCUUGUUCCUAGGGGCUCUGCUAAUUCUGUGCAUAGCCUUGUGCAUUUCGCAAAGAGCCUCUUUCCGCAGGCAAUUGAAAGCCGCAAAUGCAUCACCGUUUGGAACAUCAGAUGCAGAAUUUAUAAGAGGACCUGGUCGUGUACCGAAUACAAACAAGCAUAGUGUAGAAGGUUCUAAUCCUAUAUGGAUGCACGCUUAUGAGAAUGAGUGGUUUAAAAGUGACGAGUCUCUUAGUCACACAUCUGAGAGGGAUUCUCUCGAUGAAAAUGCAUUGAACAACGAAGAAAUAAUGAACGAAGCUAAUACAAACCAAAGAACCGAUGAUAAACCGUACUAUAUCGAGCCAAGAGCGUCUUCCAUUUCAAGCGCGGGAAGUGUGGCAAAUAUACCAAAUGACUUUCAUCGAAGUUCUCCAAUAUAUCGAACGCAAAACAAUAUCGUUAAUCCUCUUGGUAAAAAGAUAGAAACGACGGAACUGUAAUUGAACAACGACGAUAAUACGAUGGAGAAAAAUUCUUAUUUGCGCGGUAGUAUUUAUAAUUUCGUAAGAAGUGCAAAUUUAGAAUAAUUCUUGUAAAUAGUCACACUUCGUAUAAGCGUUAGUAUAUAUUUAAUAUUUAUUUCAUAGUAUUUUUAAAAAUUGACAGUGACAAAUAUUUUGUAUUAUCGAAUUCAUAUUUUCAUUAUUCGUAUUUUGUCUUGUAUCCGUAUUAAUAGUAAAUUACUAUUAUAGAUAUAAGCGAUUAUAGUUUGGAAGAAUCUCACUUCCAAGUCCCUGAGAAGCUCUGGUUAAUAAGAAAAACAAAUUUAACCAUGAUCUCUGCACAUCGAUGUAAUUGGGCUCUGCUACAUUCGCAUUAUCAAAGUGAAAUAUACAUACAUGCAUAAUAUGUACAUUAUACGUAAGUUCGUAAUACAUAAAUUCUACUGUUAUACAAUUUCCUGUUAUUAUGCUAUUCAGGAAAGCAUGCAAAUCAUUUCUUUUCAAAAUAAAGUUACUUUAUGUUACGUAUGCUACAAUACUAACAACAGUGGUGGAGAAAUGACAUACUUCUUAUAUAAUUGACUAUUUCUUUUAAUGUGUAAAAUAUAUCACUUUAAUAAUCGUAUUACUGAAACAUUCACGAAACAUUAUUUCAGCAUGUUCCAAUGUUAGUAUCAUUAAUCACUGGUCCAUGCUCUUUACAUAUUAGGUUACUCUAUGAAUAUCAAAUGCAGCUUUUGUGAAAGAUAAACUUAAAACAAUUGAAUUAAUUAUUAUACGAAUUAUAGAAAUGCGAAUAAAACAGUUACUGGAAGAUGUCAAAGAAUUAUGAAAAACGACUAAAGGA